RNAcentral lists this ribosomal RNA (911 nucleotides) under uncultured archaeon. RNAcentral describes it as "bacterial SSU rRNA". It matches the Rfam family "Archaeal small subunit ribosomal RNA", at positions 8 to 924 of the family's 1478-position model. The record is from RNAcentral.
UUGAUCCUGCCGGAGGUUACUGCUAUCGAGGUUCGACUAAGCCAUGCGAGUCGAAUGUAGCAAUACAUGGCGUACUGCUCAGUAACACGUGGACAACCUACCCUUAGGCCGGGGAUAAACCCGGGAAACUGGGUAUAAUACCCGAUAGUCCUCGACUGCUGGAAUGCAUCGAGGACUAAAGCUCCGGCGCCUAAGGAUGGGUCUGCGGCCUAUCAGGUAGUAGUGGGUGUAGCGUACCUACUAGCCUACGACGGGUACGGGUUGUGAGAGCAAGAGCCCGGAGAUGGAUUCUGAGACACGAAUCCAGGCCCUACGGGGUGCAGCAGGCGCGAAAACUUUACAAUGCUGGAAACAGCGAUAAGGGGACCUCGAGUGCCAGGUUACAAAUCUGGCUGUCGUGAUGCCUAAAAAGCAUUGCAUAGCAAGGGCCGGGCAAGACCGGUGCCAGCCGCCGCGGUAACACCGGCGGCUCGAGUGGUAACCGUUAUUAUUGGGUCUAAAGGGUCUGUAGCCGGCCGGAUAAGUCUCUUGGGAAAUCUGGCAGCUUAACUGUCAGGCUUUCAGGAGAUACUGUCUGGCUCGAGGCCGGGAGAGGUGAGAGGUACUUCAGGGGUAGGGGUGAAAUCUUGUAAUCCUUGAAGGACCACCAGUGGCGAAGGCGUCUCACCAGAACGGACCUGACGGCAAGGGACGAAAGCUAGGGGCACGAACCGGAUUAGAUACCCGGGUAGUCCUAGCCGUAAACGAUACUCGCUAGGUGUCGGCCACGGUGCGACCGUUGUCGGUGCCGUAGGGAAGCCGUGAAGCGAGCCACCUGGGAAGUACGGCCGCAAGGCUGAAACUUAAAGGAAUUGGCGGGGGAGCACCACAACGGGUGGAGCUUGCGGUUUAAUUGGAUUCAACGCCGGAAA